Molecule: long non-coding RNA, 392 nt
Organism: Clarias gariepinus (North African catfish)
Lineage: Eukaryota; Metazoa; Chordata; Actinopteri; Siluriformes; Clariidae
Exons: 3
Source: RefSeq, a predicted model, not a curated record
AAAGAGUUUCCGCCUCGACUCCGUUUUGCGGAAGUGUUAGAAAAGUUAAAACACAAUGUUUAUGUUUUAUCACUGAAAAUGUCUUUAAAGCAGAAGAUAUUAAUGUAACACAACAGGGCCGGUGAAUAAAGGAGUGUAAUCCACUGAGAUCAGACACUUCAGGACUUAACUGCUAGUUUGUGGAUACUAAUAUUGAAAGAUGGAGCCUGAUGAUCCGGACACUGAUAACUUGUCCCCACUCUCUAAAAAACACUUACCUAAUAUAUCUUGUAAACUCCAGGAAGAGAGAUCAGAAUCAGCAGCACCCAGCUGUGUCUCCAUGAAGAGUGAUGUGUCUAUGGAUCGUCCUAUUAAGUUUAAAGCAGUAGACUCCUCACCUCUACACAGGUAAC